RNAcentral lists this ribosomal RNA (803 nucleotides) under Enterobacter cloacae. Its description in RNAcentral is "bacterial SSU rRNA". It matches the Rfam family "Bacterial small subunit ribosomal RNA", at positions 12 to 805 of the family's 1533-position model. Lineage: Bacteria; Pseudomonadati; Pseudomonadota; Gammaproteobacteria; Enterobacterales; Enterobacteriaceae. The record is from RNAcentral.
UCUGAUCGUGGCUCAGAUUGAACGCUGGCGGCAGGCUUAACACAUGCAAGUCGAACGGUUGCACAGAGAGCUUGUUCUCGGGUGACGAGUGGCGGAACGGGUGAGUAAUGUCUGGGAAACUGCCUGAUGGAGGGGGAUAACUACUGGAAACGGUAGCUAAUACCGCAUAACGUCGCAAGACCAAAGAGGGGGACCUUCGGGCCUCUUGCCAUCAGAUGUGCCCAGAUGGGAUUAGCUAGUAGGUGGGGUAACGGCUCACCUAGGCGACGAUCCCUAGCUGGUCUGAGAGGAUGACCAGCCACACUGGAAGUGAGACACGGUCCAGACUCCUACGGGAGGCAGCAGUGGGGAAUAUUGCACAAUGGGCGCAAGCCUGAUGCAGCCAUGCCGCGUGUAUGAAGAAGGCCUUCGGGUUGUAAAGUACUUUCAGCGGGGAGGAAGGUGUUGUGGUUAAUAACCGCAGCAAUUGAGGUUACCCGCAGAAGAAGCACCGGUUAACUCCGUGCCAGCAGCCGCGGUAAUACGGAGGGUGCAAGCGUUAAUCGGAAUUAUUGGGCGUAAAGCGCACGCAGGCGGUUUGUCAAUUCGGAUGUGAAAUCCCCGGGUUAAACCUGGGAAGUCCAUUGGAAAUUGGCAGGUUAGAGUCUUGUGGAGGGGGGUAGAAUUCCAGGGGUAGGGGUGAAAUGGGUAGAGAUUUGGAGGACUCCCGGUGGGGAAGGGGGCCCCUUGUACAAAGAUUGACGCUCAGGUGGAAAAGGUUGGGGAGCAAACAGGAUUAAUUACCUGGGUAGUCCCCCCGUUAA